Molecule: ribosomal RNA, 162 nt
Filed under: Eucalyptus rhomboidea
Lineage: Eukaryota; Viridiplantae; Streptophyta; Magnoliopsida; Myrtales; Myrtaceae
Description: 5.8S ribosomal RNA
Rfam family: 5.8S ribosomal RNA
About the family: 5.8S ribosomal RNA (5.8S rRNA) is a component of the large subunit of the eukaryotic ribosome. It is transcribed by RNA polymerase I as part of the 45S precursor that also contains 18S and 28S rRNA.
Source: RNAcentral
AUAACAACUCUCGGCAACGGAAAUCUGGGCUCUCCCAUCAAUGAAAAACUAAGCAAACGGCAAUACUUGGUGGGAAUUGCAAAAUCCCGGGAACCAUCAAUUCUUUAAACGAAAGUUGCCCCCAAAACCUUUGUUCAAGGGCCGUUUUGCUUGGGUGCCACA